AGUUUAACGGCCGCGGUACUCUGACCGUGCGAAGGUAGCAUAAUCACUUGUUCUUUAAAUGGGGACUCGUAUCAAUGGCAUCACGAGGGCCAUACUGUCUCCUUUUUCUAAUCAGUGAAACUGAUCUUCCCGUGAAGAAGCGGGAAUAUAUAUAUAAGACGAGAAGACCCCAUGGAGCUUUAAACCCAACAGCAACCCUAAUAAUCAAGCCACAAAAAUUAACGAGAUUAUGCUUGUUGGUUUUAGGUUGGGGUGACCGCGGAGUAUAGACUAACCUCCACGACGAACGGGACUAAACCCUUACCCGAGAACCACUGUUCUAAGAAUCAACAUAUUGACUUCUAAUGAUCCGACCAAUCGAUUAACGGACCAAGUUACCCUGGGGAUAACAGCGCUAUCCAUUUCGAGAGCUCCUAUCGACAAAUGGGUUUACGACCUCGAUGUUGGAUCAGGGUAUCCCAGUGGUGCAGCCGCUACUAAUGGUUUGUUUGUUCAACAAUUAAAACCCUACGUGAUCUGAGUCCAGACCGGA
Molecule: ribosomal RNA, 532 nt
Filed under: Indirana yadera
Lineage: Eukaryota; Metazoa; Chordata; Amphibia; Anura; Ranixalidae
Description: partial large subunit ribosomal RNA
Rfam family: Bacterial large subunit ribosomal RNA
Source: RNAcentral